Molecule: long non-coding RNA, 229 nt
Filed under: Elaeis guineensis (African oil palm)
Lineage: Eukaryota; Viridiplantae; Streptophyta; Magnoliopsida; Arecales; Arecaceae
Description: long non-coding RNA (EGUI_LNC050198)
Source: RNAcentral
UGAGAUAUAUUGUGAUGAUCUCUAUCACAAUAUCAUCAAAACUCUUUUUGAUAGAUUGGAAUAAUUUCAGCUCUACCUUUUGAAGGUCAUCGAUCAUCAAGAUGAUGCCCGAUGAGUUUCAUAAUCCAUCAGUGAUAUCUAGUAGUAUGUAGUGAUAAUUUAGUAGAAUAAAAAUGUGAACCUCUAGGUGCAGUUAUCGUAUGAUUUAAUCCUUCUAUCAUGAGUCCCG